GACGAACGCUGGCGGCGUGCUUAACACAUGCAAGUCGAACGGAAAGGCCCUGCUUUUGUGGGGUGCUCGAGUGGCGAACGGGUGAGUAACACGUGAGUAACCUGCCCCUGACUUUGGGAUAACUUCAGGAAACUGGGGCUAAUACCGGAUAGGAGCUCCUGCUGCAUGGUGGGGGUUGGAAAGUUUCGGCGGUUGGGGAUGGACUCGCGGCUUAUCAGCUUGUUGGUGGGGUAGUGGCUUACCAAGGCUUUGACGGGUAGCCGGCCUGAGAGGGUGACCGGCCACAUUGGUCCUGAGAGACGGCCCAGACUGCUACGGGAGGCAGCAGUGGGAAAUAUUGCACAAUGGGCGGAAGCGUGAUGUGGCAACCCCGCGUGCGGGAUGCCGGCCUUCGGGGUGUAAACCGCUUUCGCCUGUGACGAGGCGUGCGUGACGGUAAUGGGUAAAGAAGCACCGGCUAACUACGUG
Molecule: ribosomal RNA, 468 nt
Filed under: uncultured bacterium
Lineage: Bacteria
Description: partial 16S ribosomal RNA
Rfam family: Bacterial small subunit ribosomal RNA
Source: RNAcentral